UCUCCCACCACCAUCUGAUGCUCACUGGUUCUUAUUAUAUGAAAAGUUAUCUCUCCUCUCUAAAUAAUGACAAAGCCUUAUUCUCUUUUCUGUUAACUGUAAAAUACUUAACUUCCAUUUUGUUUCUUUCUGUUUUGCUGUCAGUUUCUGCCUCUCCCGCACAGCUUAGUGCGUGAUUCAUUAUCACAGCCACAGGAACGGGUAUUCCCCUCGAACGAGAUGUAAAAGAGUAGUCUCAGUUUGUUUGACUUAACGACUCUCACAUGAACUCGAGCCGAGUACUUUGUGUUGUUCUCUUUCUGGGGGUUUAUCUAUCAAUUCAGAUCAAUGCUUUUGCAUGAUGUUUGAAUUGAAAGUGUCCUUUAAAACAUUGCUUUAAACUAUUGACAUUGUCUCUGUCUUCAAAUUUUCAGAAUUCGUGUCACUCUGAUAACAACAGAUGAACUGUGUAUCCCUGUAUGUCUCCUUACAUUUCAAAUAUGUUCAUUUGUGCAUAAAUAUGAGUAAGUGAAUAUCAAACAAUCGUGCAGCAUAUUCCAAAAUAUGCAAUAUGACAGUAGGUGGUAACGUAUAUCUUCAUCUCCAUGAUUGAGCCUGUUAAUGACAGCGUCUACAUGAGAAAAUGUGUAGAAACCCUGAUGGUGAGUUCCUUGGUGACUCCAUAAUCAGUUCCUUGUGUUUUUCAACUUCCAGCUACAGAUGUAUAGUGUUUGUACAUGAUAUGCUCUAGAAUAUUCUGUUUAUAAUAUAUUGUAAUCUUGUUACUUUAUAAAAAGAACGGAAAUCAUACACAUCAAGUUUUUCCCAAUGCUUUGUUACACAUUUAUUACGAAAUGUACAUUAUUAUGUAUUUAUUGACCCAUGAUUUAAUUAAUCCUUUCUGUUCUUCCCAAAAGACAUAAAUACGGAAUGUCUAUUGUCAUUAGACAUGGUGUCCUUAUUAAGACAGUUUCCAUAUCAUCCUUUCUGUAGAAAUUGUUCAGUUUUUGUCAUCUGUUAUCCAUGCAGCAAUAUGUAACAAUCUAAAUGAGAGACCAAAGUUGGUGCUUGUUAACCAGGUCAUUAGAAGGUACAACCGACAAUGUGUGAGCCUUGUAAUCACAUUAUAUCAUUUAUCUAUGACAUCAUUAUUCCCGAAUUUUGCACGGGUGGGGUUAACAAGAAAAUGAUUCAAUACGACCAGUUGAAAUUAGAUGAAUUUAAUUGAAUUUGAACCGCCCAAACAACACUAUAAUCAUUAAUAUCAUGGUUUCAGUAAUCUCUACGUCGCAUUUUAUUCUGGUGCCAGGAUGUUUCUGCAAAAACUUAACAUUUAAACUUUGCACUUUAUUUCUAAUCAUAAAAACAUACUGCAAGACUAGAAUUAUACUCAUAUUAAAACCCACACUUAAAGCUGCACCUUUUUUAAUACAAAAAAACAAAAAAAACACAAUUAACACAGCAAGAGGCUGUCAAUCAUGUAGUGGUCAGAAGUGUUCACGCUCUGUGUCCCGCCCCCACAGCAGGGUCCCUGAGGGAGGCCGCCCACCAUGUGAGAAUGUCCUUUAGAUUAGUGUGAGCAAGUCCGUCACUCCCCAGUGAACACCAAGAGUCAGCGACCUCACACUGCCCUGCCCUGUCACAACUACUGUGAUACCAGCUCUGCUCGGGAGUAGUUAAACCACCACAACACAAAACCGAUUACUUUUAAGACGUCUGUAUCUGCUCAAUAUUAAUAUGCAUAUGAAUAAAGUUGUCUUUUAAUGUUAGGCCGUAUUUAUAUUUUGCUUAAAUUAGCUGUUGCUUCACUCCGUGCAUGUAUCCAUUAAUGCAUCUAUGGAAAUGAAAAACACACAGGGUGCCGGGGAGAGCGAGAGUCGAUUAUUAAGAUGUAAUAAAAUGUUGCACGCUCAAAUGUUAUAUCUGUUGCUAUGGCAAUGGGUUUGGAUCCUGCGGGCUGCAGGACUCUUGCUAUUUCUAAAUAAAGCAUUUUUUCUCACUGAUCAGGGGAUGAAGAAGAUACUCAGAGCUGAAACUAAGAACUCAGAAUUUUACCAGGCUGUGUAAACACCAGUGGUCUGCACUUACUGCUAAACCUGCUAAACAGCAGUUACAGAAUUAUACAUAAGAUGAUGUACAAAAGAGGGCAUAUGGUUUGCUGCUGCUACAUUUCUUUAUUCUUGAUUGAAAGUUUUGUAUUCAUUACAGGCUGUGUCCAAUUUCCUAAAUCUCCACAUGUGACUAGAAGGCAAAAUCUUCCCAUUUCCUUCGCACGAUUAUAAACUAAUCACUAAUACUGAAGUGAUUUAUUGAAUUACCGAAAGCAGUCUAAUAUUUUCAACAGUCUAAUGUUUUCAAUUCCGGUUAAAAAAAAAGAUUGUAAUUGCUGAGAGAAAAAUCUGUUUACAUCAUGAUAAGAAGAAGAAACUACAACAUACAGUCAGUUCUAAGUUGGUUAAGUCCACAUCUAAGGUUUCUUCAUCACUGUAUUGUUUCACUUUUUGCAUAAGGAACAAAAGACAUGGGAGAAAAAUGACUAUCCUGCUUGUCUUUUGUCCUUGCAUGCUGUGUAGUAACACAGUACCUUUGUCCCCCUGUGGGGGGAGCCUAUGUGUGGAGAAGAAGAGGACAGAAAUAGGUGCUGAGACCAGAUAUUUGAUGCUUUCAA
Long non-coding RNA from Gasterosteus aculeatus aculeatus (three-spined stickleback), 2647 nucleotides. The record is from Ensembl. NCBI's taxonomy places the organism in Eukaryota, Metazoa, Chordata, Actinopteri, Perciformes, Gasterosteidae.